UACGUAGGUGGCAAGCGUUGUCCGGAAUUAUUGGGCGUAAAGCGCGCGCAGGCGGUCCUUUAAGUCUGAUGUGAAAGCCCACGGCUCAACCGUGGAGGGUCAUUGGAAACUGGGGGACUUGAGUACAGAAGAGAAGAGUGGAAUUUCCGGUGUAGCGGUGAAAUGCGUAGAUAUCGGAAGGAACAUCAGUGGCGAAAGCGGCUUCCUGGACCAGCACCGACGUUCAGGCACGAAAGCGUGGGGAGCAAACAGG
RNAcentral lists this ribosomal RNA (253 nucleotides) under uncultured bacterium. RNAcentral's name for it is "partial 16S ribosomal RNA". It matches the Rfam family "Bacterial small subunit ribosomal RNA", at positions 524 to 776 of the family's 1533-position model. The record is from RNAcentral.